GUGUCAGCCGCCGCGGUAAUACGGAGGGUGCGAGCGUUGUCCGGAAUCACUGGGCGUAAAGGGCGCGUAGGUGGCGCCGCAAGUCAACGGUGAAAGCUCGACGCUUAACGUCGAGUCGGCCGUCGAGACUGCGGGGCUCGAGCACUGUAGAGGCUCAUGGAAUUCCGGGUGUAGCGGUGGAAUGCGUAGAGAUCCGGAAGAACACCGGUGGCGAAGGCGGUGAGCUGGGCAGUUGCUGACACUGAGGCGCGACAGCGUGGGGAGCAAACAGGAUUAGAUACCCUGGUAGUCC
RNAcentral lists this ribosomal RNA (292 nucleotides) under uncultured bacterium. RNAcentral describes it as "partial 16S ribosomal RNA". It matches the Rfam family "Bacterial small subunit ribosomal RNA", at positions 505 to 796 of the family's 1533-position model. The record is from RNAcentral.